RNAcentral lists this ribosomal RNA (306 nucleotides) under uncultured bacterium. RNAcentral describes it as "bacterial SSU rRNA". It matches the Rfam family "Bacterial small subunit ribosomal RNA", at positions 29 to 334 of the family's 1533-position model. The record is from RNAcentral.
AACGAACGCUGGCGGCAUGCUUAACACAUGCAAGUCGAACGGGAAGCUUUACUUCGGUAGAGUGGAGAGUGGCGAACGGGUGAGUAACGCGUAGAUAAUCUACCCUGGAGUCUGGGAUAACUCCUCGAAAGAGGGGCUAAUACCGGAUAACAAUUUAGAUCGAGUGUUUUGAAUUUGAAAGUUCCGACGCUCUGGGAUGAGUCUGCGUAACAUUAGCUAGUUGGUGGGGUAAAGGCCUACCAAGGCUACGAUGUUUAGCGGGUCCGAGAGGAUGAUCCGCCACACUGGCACUGAGACACGGGCCAG